GUAGGUCCCGAGCGUUAUCCGGAUUUACUGGGCGUAAAGCGUGUUCAGGCGGUCUAGCAAGUCGGGCAUGAAAUCUCUCGGCUCAACCGGGAGGGGUUGUCCGAUACUGCUGGGCUUGAGGGCAGCAGAGGGUGGUGGAAUUCCGGGUGUAGUGGUGAAAUGCGUAGAUAUCCGGAGGAACACCAGUGGCGAAGGCGGCCACCUGGGCUGUACCUGACGCUCAGACACGAAAGCUAGGGGAGCGAACGGGAUUAGAAACCCCGGUAGUCCUAGCCGUAAACGAUGUUGACUAGGUGUCGACGGUCUAAACCCCGCCGGUGCCGGAGCUAACGCACGAAGUCAACCGCCUGGGGACUACGGCCGCAAGGUUA
Molecule: ribosomal RNA, 371 nt
Filed under: uncultured bacterium
Lineage: Bacteria
Description: bacterial SSU rRNA
Rfam family: Bacterial small subunit ribosomal RNA
Source: RNAcentral